GUAAGCGCACGCAGCGGUCUGUCAAGUCGGAUGUGAAUCCCCGGGCUCAACCUGGGAACUGCAUUCGAAACUGGCAGGCUGGAGUCUUGUAGAGGGGGGUAGAAUUCCAGGUGUAGCGGUGAAAUGCGUAGAGAUCUGGAGGAAUACCGGUGGCGAAGGCGGCCCCCUGGACAAAGACUGACGCUCAGGUGCGAAAGCGUGGGGAGCAAACAGGAUUAGAUACCCUGGUAGUCCACGCUGUAAACGAUGUCGACUUGGAGGUUGUUCCCUUGAGGAGUGGCUUCCGGAGCUAACGCGUUAAGUCGACCGCCUGGGGAGUACGGCCGCAAGGUUAAAACUCAAAGGAAUUGACGG
Molecule: ribosomal RNA, 354 nt
Filed under: uncultured bacterium
Lineage: Bacteria
Description: bacterial SSU rRNA
Rfam family: Bacterial small subunit ribosomal RNA
Source: RNAcentral